GACGAACGCUGGCGGCGCGCUUAACACAUGCAAGUCGAACGGAAAGGCCUGCUUUCCCUUGUGGAUUGCGGGUACUCGAGUGGCGAACGGGUGAGUAACACGUGAGUGAUCUGCUCCCAACUUGGGUAUAAGCCUGGGAAACUGGGUCUAAUUCCCGAUAGGACUGCAGGGUGGUGCCUGUGGUGGAAAACGAUUUUCUAGUGGUUGGGGAUGAGCUCGCGGCCUAUCAGCUUGUUGGUGGGGUAAUGGCCUACCAAGGCGGCGACGGGUAGCCGGCCUGAGAGGGUGGACGGCGACAUUGGGACUGAGAUACGGCCCAGACUCCUACGGGAGGCAGCAGUGGGGAAUAUAGGACAAUGGGCGGAAGCCUGAUGCAGCGACGCCGCGUGGGGGAUGACGGCCUUCGGGUUGUAAGCUCCUUUCGACCGCGAGGAAGCCACCUGGUUGGAAGGGUGGUGACGGUAGUGGUAGAAGAAGCACCGGCUAACUACGUG
Molecule: ribosomal RNA, 494 nt
Filed under: uncultured bacterium
Lineage: Bacteria
Description: partial 16S ribosomal RNA
Rfam family: Bacterial small subunit ribosomal RNA
Source: RNAcentral